This is a long non-coding RNA of Octopus sinensis (East Asian common octopus), 163 nucleotides long. RefSeq lists it as uncharacterized. The transcript has 3 exons. NCBI's taxonomy places the organism in Eukaryota, Metazoa, Mollusca, Cephalopoda, Octopoda, Octopodidae. The record is from RefSeq and is a predicted model, not a curated record.
CUGUGUUACUAGAGUCAUGUGUGAUAGUGUAGAGUCUCACUGAAAAACAUAUGGCUUUCCAUUGCAUAUACUGUCUAUCCAAGGCUUAACAAUUAUUUCCAGGACCUCAAUAUAGGCAGUAGAGUUAACUCUAAGGCCUUGUGGAAAGAAGUAAGGAGGCAUC